Felis catus (domestic cat) is the source of this 3778-nucleotide long non-coding RNA. RefSeq lists it as uncharacterized. The transcript is spliced from 3 exons. Lineage: Eukaryota; Metazoa; Chordata; Mammalia; Carnivora; Felidae. The record is from RefSeq and is a predicted model, not a curated record.
CGGGGGCGGAGCGCACCCGGGGGAGGGGCCACGACGGGGGGCGGAGUCAGCGGGGCGCGCGCGCGUGCGCGCGCGCGCGUGUGUGCGACCUAAGACGAGAUGUGUGCGUGUUGGCGCGCGUUUGUAAGACUCGUGUGUGUGUGUGUGUGUGUGUGUGUGUGUGUGUGUGUGUGUGUGUGUGUGUGUGAGAGAGACUACAUUAGCAGACUAUGUAUGUGUGUGAGAUUGUGUAAGAUGAGAGUCUGGGUGUGUAUGAGAUUGUGUGUGUGAGACUGUUAGAGGGUGUGAGAGUGAUUAUGUACUACAUAACAGAGAAAUUGGAAGAGAUUGUAUGUGUGUGACAGGGUGUGUAUGUGUGUGUGAAAGUGUUAGGAAAGGAGUGUGUGAGAGAGAAAGUGUGUGUAUGUAAGAGACUGUGAAGGAGAGAGCACGUGUGCGUUGGGGUGUGUGUGUGACACACAGUCACGCUCCAGUGGGGUACCUCUGUUCUUGCCUGGCCCUGGGGCUGUGCCUGGCUGUGCUGCUGCAUGCCUGUCCUGAGUAGCGGUGCAUCCUGUGCAAAUAGAAGCCUCCAUGGAAGCCCAAAAGGACAGAGGUUCCGAGAGCUUGUGAGCUUGUAAAGAUUUCGAUUUGCAAGGAUUGGUGUAUGAUGAUGAUACGAACUUGGAACCACAGGAGAACCACCUUACAAAGCCAAGUAACGAAGUGGACCUAGUGGAAUACACGACUGACAGAGGAAUAAUUUUAGCCAGUUCCUCUAAAACUUAAGUUACCCAUGUGUGCCUUUUUCAGUUAUGUUGGCCAAUGAAUCUGUCACCAUAAUGUUCUCUCCCACCCCUAGCUGCCACCCCUGCCAACCCCUUUUCUCAUAAGCCAUCUUGGGAUGGCUUCAUCACUUACUAAAGGAAUUAGGAUGAUACAGGCUGUAACUGAGAUACAGAAGAAAUGAGUAGUUUUGCUGCUAUUAGACUGAAGACAUUUGGAUAGUUCAUUUAAAGUCUGGCAUUGAAUUCCAUCAUCAGUAAAAUGAGCAGGUUGAUGUAGAAAAUUUUAAAAACCUCUUCCUGCUUUAAAAUUGUAUUAUUUCCAUAUGACUUUUCCUGCCUCCAGAUCUAGCCUGUAUGUCUUGGCUGCUGUCCUUUGCAUUUAUUCCAGUUGGUUAAGUUGCUCUUAUUAGAGAGGUUAAUUCUCAAAAGCAAAAGGAUAGAAGCAGUUUUCUUAUCUGCAAAUUCCUUUAUCACUUCAUUUAAAUUACCAAAGGUUAUUUUCUCCACCCUCCUCAAAUUUUAAAAAUGGUUUAAUGGACAUAUAAAUUGUUCUAUUAGUAUUCUAAGGCAUCUAUAAUUUUAAGACCCAUUACCCAGUGAAAAUUAGGUCUAUUACUCUUUUGUCUCCAACUUGUUAUUUUGAAAGAUUUCAAACCUUCAGAAAAGUUGCAGGAAUAGUACAAUGAAUACCAAGAGAGUUUUCUCCCAGAUUGGCCAGAUGUUAAUAUUUUGUCCUACUUGCUUUCCUGUGUGUAUUUUCCUGAGUAAGUCUGUUACUCUCAAUGUAUGUUUAAAAUAGCAUGUAAAGAAAACUAAGGACUUAAAAAAAACAAAAACAAACAAACAAACAACUAAGAACUUCUCAGAGGAGUGCUGCCCUUGCCUGGAAACAUUUAGAAGGAUCUGGAAAAGUGGAGGUGGUAGAGGCUACAAGCUAACAAUUGAGAGUCUUGACUGCCUGAAUUCCAAUCCUGACUCGCUCUAAUCCUCAGUUUUCAUAUUUGCAAUAUGUGGGUACUAUUGGCACUUAAGUACAAAAUUAAAACAUUAAUUAGUAUUAAUAUUAUGUGAGUAGAACUAAUAACAUGAGGUGUACGUGAUUUUUCAUUGCAUAUGAGAAACCAAUGGUUAUUUCUGCUUUGAAUACAGAUGAGCUUGGACCUUGAGUUGGUUAGCUCAAAAGGGAAUACAAAAACCUGAAACAGAAAUUAAAAAGUAUGUGUUUUUGGCUGGGCAAGAAAUCAGACCCUAUGCUGAACCAGCAUCUGCCAAUAUGGUCCUAGUGGAAGUAAAUCCACAUAAGGAAAGAAGAUGGGUUUCAUCUCAUGUGCCAGUUAUUCUUGGUGACAUCCUGGUACACGGUAUAAGAUGGCAUUUGAGAACUUUUUUGGGAAGGAAUGACUGCCAUGGCAAGGGAAAUGUGAGCUAUGGCACAAGUGCCAUCUAUUUGCCAUCUUUGAUUUAGGUAUGAAAGACAAAGAAGGCAAGUUUCAGGAAUAGGGAGUGACUUUGACAACUGGCAAAUAAAUGCUACUAAGACUGAGGGAAGAGGAAAAAUUGGUAGAUUUAAAUGAAGUAGUCUAUCAAGCCUGUUAGUAAACCAAUAAUACAUGUAUAUUUCUAUCCUAGCAAUUACCACAUUAUAGUAACUCCUUUGUUUAUGUGUUACUUUCUCUAAUUGAGAAAAGUCUCUAUAUGUUUCUAGAGAGAAGAUCCAUUGUUAUCCUUUGUGCUUUACCAAGUGCCACGUAUGUAGUAGGUACAUAAUCAGUGUUUGAGCUUAUUCAUCUAUAUCUAAAUUUUGAUUAGGUUUGCAUUAACGGCUUACUCUGUAAAACUCAUCCCAUAUCUGUGCUCAUUUUGAGACCUGCUGGUCUGCUUAGUUUCCUAUUAAAAAUUUUUGGAAAAUUCCCAUCUUGUAUCAAGUAAGCUAAAACCAAAAAGAUUGGAGACAUGUCUUAUGAUUUUGACUUUGUAAAACUACAAUUAAUUUUAUGAGGUCUAUACGUACUUUUAUAUAUGUUUCAACAGAACUUUUACUUUUCUAGCAUACUGCCUCUUAUCUCUAUAAAAAUGUUAUGUCAAAAUUCAUUUGAGUAUAAUAGCUAUUAUUCUAUUUGAUUGAAUAGAAGGUGAUAGGGCCACACUGAUCUAUUGGCCCUUUUCCUCUAAUGGCUCAAAAGAAUCAUUCUCCAGCUGCUGAGCACAAUGGUACACAUGAUGACACUUAUAAAUACAAUACACUAUUUAGGUUUAAAUUGUUCAACUCAUCUGUGAAGUUCAAUUAUCAGGGAGGAUAAGAGUAAAGAGUUGAUACAGGUUGUUAGACAUAUAUUUUCAAAUUGCACCUAUGAGAUGUAUGGGCCUAAAGGAUUUUUGUAACUAAAAUGUACACAUUUAACUCUCACAUAGAUUUUCAGAAAUUCAUUAUGUGCAAAAUCAGGGGCCACCCCUAUCUAUCUAUCUAUCUAUCUAUCUAUCUAUCUAUCUGUUCAUUUGAUAGUUGCUUCUUUUCUCAAAUUGUACUUGAUUAUCUUCAGGUUUUUCUGUGUUAAUGAUGUUUUGCUGGGUUUUGUCUCUGCUUCUUAAUAACAUUUUCCGUAUAGAACACAAUUAAGAAUGAGGAACUAAGCAAAAAGUCUUCUGAGAAACGCUUAAAUCUUUUGAACACUGUAGUACCCUACUCAGGAAAAAAAAAAUGCUGCUUGCGUCUUCAUUCUGCUUAUUCAUAAUCUAUUCAUAAUUUUAACAAUCUUGGUGUAAAAAGACACCUAUGAAUCAUUUAAGUUCUGUGUACAGUGUGAUUGUGCAUGAAAUUAUUUAUGGGAGAAGGGCACAAAGAAUAUUAUGAGACCUAUUCUCACUUGCUUAAACCUUGAGAAAGCAUAGAAAGCAUUUAUACAGGGGAAGAGCCAAGAUGGUGGAACAGCAUGGAAGUUUUUUGUGUGUCUCGUGUCCAUGAAAUACAGCCAGACCAACACUAAACCAUCCGACACACCUAGAAAACUGAU